CAAACAGUAAUUCAAAGGGGUUAUUAAGGAAAAACUAGCAAAUUUAUAAAAAAGGAGGGCACAAGUCCAAAAGCCACAAUUUACCGAAAGGUGGUCAAGUUUCAUUAGAUUUAUUUAAUGUUGACAAAGAAUGUAGGCGAUCCUAAGGGAAACCUUUAUAUUUAAACUUCCCGAAGUAAAACAUUUCAUUAGGGAAAGGAAAGGAAAUCAACCGAGACUCCGAAAGUAAUGGCGAGUGAAAUCGGACCAGCCUUUAUUUUUAAAAAUAAAUUUAACAAAAAUACACACCAGAAACCAAAGAAGGUAAAAUAGUCCUGUAUGUUAAAUCUUUUUAAAUUAAUGUUUAAAAAAAUAUUAUUAAAUUAAAAUUUAUUUAAAUAAUGAGUACGACGAGAGUGAACUUGUCGGAAUAUAGGGGAACCAUCCUCUAAGGCUAAGUAUUUAUAAAUUUAGCGAUAGUGAAAAGUACCGUGAGGGAAAGUUUGAAAUAGUUAUGUAAUAUUAGACAUAAAUGAAAUAGUUGAAUUAGUAACUCUAUAAGCAGUCGAAAUUUAUAAUAAUAAAUGACGGCGUACCUUUUGCAUAAUGGGUCAGCAAGUUAAUAGGAGUAGCAAGGUUAAAAGCCUUAGUGAAAGCGACCACACUAACUAGCUAAAAGUAUUUUUAAUUUCAUAGAUAUUAAAAAUAGGGUAUCCUUCAUAGUCAUAAGGCUAAGAAGUUAAAUAUUUUCUAGGAGUAUAGUGAUGGGUAAGUUACUUCUAUUAGACCCGAAGCUAGGUGAUCUUCCUAAGACCAGAUUAUAAUGGAUCGAACGGGUGAAUGUAGCAAAAUUCUCCGAAGAGUUUUAGGAAGCGGUGAAAUGCCAAUCUGACCUAGUGAUAGCUGGUUUUCUACGAAACAUAUGUAAGUAUGACAUCUAAACAAAAUUUAUGGUGGUACAGCACUGAGUUCCCAACUAUUUCUUUUAAAAAGAAAAGUUUAGGUUGCGGGGACGUCGAAAAUCUUACCAAUGGAAGAGAAUCUCGGAAUGACAUAAAUUGAUGUUAGAUAUUCAGACUGCUCAUGCGAAGUUGGGUAGUCAAGACGGAAACAGCCGAGAACACGAAACAAGGUCCCAAAUGAUUUUUAAGUGAAAUGAAGGAAGUAAUAUAUUGAAUGCAGCUGUAAAGUGAGCCUGGUAGUCGCUAUCUUUUAAUAAACGUAAUGUAACAACGUAGCAGCCUUAAAACAAUAGAAUAUUACGCCAAAAAUUUAACGGGUCUCAAAAAAUCAACCGAUAUCGUGUUUAUUUUGAAUAAUAAAAGUUUAAUAUUCAAUAUACAGGUAGUAGAACAUUCAGUAUACUGAUGAUAAAACAGUGUUUCAUUGUUUUUAGGUCACUGAAGAGAGAAUGCUGACAUGAGUAACGUAAAAAGAAGUUAUAAUACUUCUCGCCGAAUACGAAAGGGUUGUAAGGAAAGGUUAAACCACCUUAUGUUAAUGCGGCCUCUAAGGAACAAAACCAAAGUUUUGUCUGAUGAGUAUGAAUUAGAAAGUCCAAAUUUAAAUUAAUUUAUAAAAAGGACCAGGAAAAUAAUAUGUUCAUAACUACCGUACCCUAAACCGACACAGGUUCGUAAGUAGAGUAUACUAAGGCGUAGAGCUAAAAGUUGUUAAGGAACUCGGCAAGUUCUCCUCAUAAGUUUGACGAUAAGAGGAACCCUUUAAAGGGUGGCACAAAAUCGGAGGCCCCGACUGUUUACUAAAAACACAAUUCAGAGCAAUGAUGAAAAAUCAUAGUAUUCUGGAUGAAAUUUGCCCAAUGCCAUUAACAUAAAAGAGGUUAUGGGUAACUGUAACUGAUUGAAAGUCUGGUUAAUAGCGGUCUUAACUAUGAGGAUCCAAAGGUAGCAAAAUAAAUUGGCCAUUAAAUGUGGUCUGGUAUCAAUAGUGUAACGAUGGUCUCACUGUCUCUACAACUUGCUCAGUGAAAUUGAAUUACCCGUGCAGAUGCGGGUUGCCUCCAGGUGGACGGGAAGACCCUAUGCAGCUUUACUGUAGUUAGCUAUCAUAUUGAUCUACAACAACCUUAGUUAAUAGUAAUUAGGGAUGUCGAUGGACGGAAGAUGGAAUACCUUAUGACUUUGGUUGGGUUAAUAUUUACCUUUUUAAGUCAUGUAUCAUAUAUGACUCAAAUUUUUCUUUUGUUUAUUAUAUUCGUAUUCUGUUAUAUAGUGUUAUAUGGUAUGGAGCUUAUAAGGGAUAGGUGGCUAAUUGGCAGUUUGACUGGGGCGGUCGUCUUUGAUAAAGUAGCAAAGUACAUCCAAAGAUAUUUAUUUAUUAUAAGCAAUCUUUUUUUAAAGAUACUAACUAAAAAUCAUAGUAUCUGUAUAAACUAUGGAGAGUAUAAAUUAUUAUAUUUUUAUUAACUUAAGGUAUAGCUAGAAAAUUGAAUGGAAAUCAAUCAACCAAUGUGAAAGGUUGUAAUCGGCGUAAUGGCGGAAAGCAUGCCUAACUGAAAGACUUAGAAGUCGACCAGAUACGUAAGUAGGGCAUAGUGACCCUUCGCUAUAUUAUGGAAUAGACGGGGAUCAAUCGAUAAAAGUUACGCUAGGGAUAACAGGCUGAUAGCUGGUGAGAGUACACAUUGUCCCGGCUGUUUGGCACCUUAAAUACAUUGGGGAGUAUAAAUAGAAAUGUUUAUAUAGUAAUUGGCUAUAUGCUGAAACACCCUUAAGCUUUAAGUACUCAUUUAUUUUUAAAUAAUAAAUUGUAAUAAUCUUAAUGAUUGGGCAAUCAGCAGGGAAGUUACUUAUUUAGGUUAUAGCAACUGUAAAAUUUGUAACCCCUCAACGACUACACGCCAACAUCCAGUAGCUACAUAAAGGUAUUCUUAUGCUGGAUGAAGAUAUAGUCUAAUCUUAAUUUAAAAAUUGAGCUCUCAAUCCUAUUAAUUAUAAAGGUAAGAGGGGGUAUAUUUUUUAUAUACUAAUAUUGCGAUGUCGACUCAACCUAUCCUCCGGGGGUAGAAGCUUGGAAGGGUUCGGCUGUUCGCCGAUUAAAAGGUUACGCGAGUUGGGUUUAAUACGACGUGAGUCAGUAUGGUCCCUAUCUUCUGGAGGGAUAAAUAGUAAAAGGGGGCAGACCUUCUAGUACGAAAGGAUCAAUAGGCUGUGUUUCUCUAGUGUACCAAUUGUAAUUCUCUAUUCUUCAUUUUUUUAAAGAUUAAAGAAAGAUUAAAGCAUAGUUGGGUAGCCACAAACAUGAUAGAUAAGCGCUGAAUGAAUAUUAAGCAGGAAGCUAUCCUCCAGAUACUAUCUUAUUGAUUAUCUUUUUAAUUAAUAUUUUUAUUAAUUUUCUUUUUAAUCAGUGUGAAUAAGAAAUAGAACAUUUCUAAAUAGGAUGCAAAUGAAAGUGCUGUAA
Molecule: ribosomal RNA, 3402 nt
Filed under: Ganoderma sinense
Lineage: Eukaryota; Fungi; Basidiomycota; Agaricomycetes; Polyporales; Polyporaceae
Description: large subunit ribosomal RNA
Rfam family: Bacterial large subunit ribosomal RNA
Source: RNAcentral